UACAGAGGUCCCAAGCGUUGUUCGGAAUCACUGGGCUUAAAGGGCGCGUAGGCGGCCGACCAAGUCCGGGGUGAAAGCCCCCAGCUCAACUGGGGAAGUGCCUCGGAUACUGGCCGGCUCGAGGGAGGUAGGGGCGGAUGGAACUUCCGGUGGAGCGGUGAAAUGCGUUGAUAUCGGAAGGAACGCCGGUGGCGAAAGCGAUCCGCUGGCCCUCUACUGACGCUGAGGCGCGAAAGCCAGGGGAGCAAACGGG
RNAcentral lists this ribosomal RNA (253 nucleotides) under uncultured bacterium. RNAcentral's name for it is "partial 16S ribosomal RNA". It matches the Rfam family "Bacterial small subunit ribosomal RNA", at positions 524 to 776 of the family's 1533-position model. The record is from RNAcentral.